This 540-nucleotide small RNA is filed under the name Histoplasma capsulatum. Its description in RNAcentral is "hypothetical RNA". Lineage: Eukaryota; Fungi; Ascomycota; Eurotiomycetes; Onygenales; Ajellomycetaceae. The record is from RNAcentral. RNAcentral also lists the same sequence under 1 other name.
CCUAGCCUAUUGGUGAUUUCUGUCGCUGUAGUGGAAUAUUCCGGGAACUCUCUCUAAUGAGUAUGCAGAGCCUCCAUUUCGCCACAUCCAUCUGGGGUUAUUAAUCGUUUUCUGCAAGAUCCUGGCGCAGAUAUGCCUACUUUUGCGGCACAGUGACUACAAGUCCUCAGAUGGCGCAACGUAAGUGGACAAUGUUGCAGGGUGACCACAACACCGUGCUCUCUUCCCAACUGCUUUAGGGUUUAUUCUCUCACCUAUAGGCGCAUGAUGCAAUGCAAGCAUUCAGAUUUGAAGGCUCCAAAUACCCGCCCAACCCAAUGUCUUCGUACCUUGGCAGGCUCCUUGAGCCUUCUGAAUGUGAGACGGCUUAAGGAUCUUGCCACGAACCCAUACACUUAUAUGUGCACUAGCCUACUUGUUCUCCAGUGUCGCUAUGGGAUAUACGGAGUCAACUAUGACCCAUGCGGCAUAAUCGAAGCGGAGGGGUGUUCGUUAUCAUUCUAUUUGCCCAGGUUGAAGAAGAGCCGGGCAAGAACCGGG